GGAGUCUGGGCCGUGUCUCAGUCCCAGUGUGGCCGAUCAUCCUCUCAAACCGGCUACAGAUCGUCGCCUUGGUCAGCCGUUACCUAACCAACUAGCUAAUCUGAUAUGGGCCACUCUUCCGGCGAUAAAUCUUUCCCCCGUGGGGCUUAUGCGGUAUUAUCACCCGUUUCCAGAUGUUAUUCCACACCAAAAGGCAUGUUCCCAUAUGUUCCUCACCCGUCCGCUACUGCUGUAUUGCUACAACCGUUCAACUUGCAUGUUUUAGGCCUGCCGCCAGCGUUCGUU
This 285-nucleotide ribosomal RNA is filed under the name Alphaproteobacteria bacterium. RNAcentral's name for it is "partial 16S ribosomal RNA". The record is from RNAcentral. Lineage: Bacteria; Pseudomonadati; Pseudomonadota; Alphaproteobacteria.